Long non-coding RNA from Aethalodelphis obliquidens (Pacific white-sided dolphin), 1891 nucleotides. RefSeq lists it as uncharacterized. The record is from RefSeq and is a predicted model, not a curated record. Lineage: Eukaryota; Metazoa; Chordata; Mammalia; Artiodactyla; Delphinidae. The transcript is spliced from 5 exons.
AAGUGCCCUGGAGACAGACAAAGAAAGAUGAGAAGAGGCUGGAAUCUCCAGAGUCCAAAAGUAACCUUUUGCUCAUUAUACUCUGAUUACAAUAAAAUUAGCCUCACAGAUAGGAAAUACCCAUCGGGCACGGAAGCCAUGACACAACGAUCAAGGCUAAAUAAAGGAAAAAUGCCUCCGCCUCUUGGGAAGGUGGAGCUGGGAAGAAAAUCAGGGAAUACGACCCCAAACCCCUCCCUCCCCAAUGAAUAUUCCGCCCCUUCACUUCUACACCCCACAUGACCAACUUGCCAAAGAAACUCGGCACAGCUACUCACAUCAACUGCACGAUUGAGCAUAUGACAUAUUGGGAACCAUUGACCGAAACUGCCCGCCUUGGCCAGGAUGCGACGGUUAGUUGUAUGUGUUAACUCGGCUGGGCCACAGGACUCCGAUAUGUGGUCAGACACCAUUCUGGAUGUUUCUGUGAGGAUGCUUUUGCAUGAGCUUGCCAUUUAAAUUGGUGACAUUUGAGUGAGGCCGACUGCUCUCCAUAACCUGGGUGGGUCUCACCUCAUCAGCCGAAGGCCUGAAUAGAACAAAAGACUGAGCUCCUCCAAGCAAGAGGGAAUUCUGCAGCAAACAGUCUCUGGACUUUAACUGCAGCACCAGCUCUCCGGCCUUCUGGCUCUAAGGAAACAGAAUUUGCCACCCUAAGAUACGUCUCUCUGUCACAUGCAUUGUUUUCAGCUGGUUAUUUUCUGAGAAAGAGCAGACAUGGGAAGGGUUCUGACAACCAAGUAGGAGUUGACCUUCUGUACGAAGCAUUUACAUUUAUAAGGGAGAUCUCCAUUUGGGAUGACCAAAUCUCUAGAAACUCUUAUCACUGGUGAAGGCGAUGCCUUAAAUCCGCGUCACAAUCCUGCUCACCUGCCGCAACUGACUCUCCCCACCUUCAACAACCUGUUUUGUCUUUAGCUGAGGAUGGCAUUUAAGGCUUCCGGUGGAGACUCGGGCAGGCGUGUCUCCUGGCCCUGGAAAGCGCGGCAGAUGCCCUCCAUGUCUUUGCACCCUGCUUUGAAGCCUCCCACUCCCAACUCCUGCGGCCGCUUUAGACUCUGGCAAGUCUCUUCAGAGCAAGGUCAAAUGUGUGUUUGGAGCAGGCCUCUCUCCUCGGGUGGGCACUUGGCUCCUCAGGGCCGUGGGACUGCCGCGGACGUCACUCUUCCUUAUACACGCCCCGCCCUGGGUACCGCCGCCUGCAUCUGGGACUCAGCGCGCAUUCUGGUUUUUCGUAGGUUUCGCUUUCCCGGAGCUGAGCGUGCUCGCCCCUCCUCCCUGGGUUGUGGAUACAGUCCCGCUGGUGGUUGGCAAAUCCCCAGGAAGAAAAGACAGGUCAGGCUGGCAGCGUCGGCUCAGCUCGGGGGACUUCCCCACCUCAGGAAGCCAGUCCACUUGGUCCUUGUCCCUCUCAGCUCCCCAACACGUUUACUUACGGCACCUGCAACCUGCCUGUUUUUUUCUUCUUGGUCCAGUGGGAGCAUGUGACCGCCAGUCUGCUUCAACCUCGCAAAUCCCGGACGCCCUCUGAUGGCUACUGAAUUUUAUAUGCUUACUUUGCAUCCUGACUCGUUACUGAUUGUUUUCCAAAUAUGUUACUUUUAUUCUUUAUUCUCUAGGAUUUCCAGGUAUACUGCCGUAUCAUCUACAAAUGAUACAUACGGUUUUACUUCUUUUUCCAUUCUAAAGCCUGUAAUUGUUUAUUGUUUUCUAACUGUAUCAGUGAAUACUUCUGACUGAAUUUCAAAUAGUGAUGGGAAUGCUUUUCUUUUAAUGGGUAUUUUUUUUCUAAUGUAAGAUGAUAACUUUUUUUUAAAAAAAUACAUGGUAAAGGGCUUCCCUGGUGGCACAG